GGCGGACGGGUUAGUAACGCGUGGGAACAUACCCUUUUCUAAGGAAUAGCCUCGGGAAACUGAGAGUAAUACCUUAUACGCCCUUCGGGGGAAAGAUUUAUCGGUGAAGGAUUGGCCCGCGUUAGAUUAGAUAGUUGGUGGGGUAAUGGCCUACCAAGUCUACGAUCUAUAGCUGGUUUGAGAGGAUGAUCAGCAACACUGGGACUGAGACACGGCCCAGACUCCUACGGGAGGCAGCAGUGGGGAAUCUUAGACAAUGGGCGCAAGCCUGAUCUAGCGAUGCCGCGUGAGUGAUGAAGGCCUUAGGGUCGUAAAGCUCUUUCGCCAAGGAUGAUAAUGACAGUACUUGGUAAAGAAACCCCGGCUAACUCCGUGCCAGCAGCCGCGGUAAUACGGAGGGGGUUAGCGUUGUUCGGAAUUACUGGGCGUAAAGCGUACGUAGGCGGAUUAGUCAGUUAGAGGUGAAAUCCCAGGGCUCAACCCUGGAACUGCCUUUAAUACUGCUAGUCUUGAGUUCGAGAGAGGUGAGUGGAAUUCCGAGUGUAGAGGUGAAAUUCGUAGAUAUUCGGAGGAACACCAGUGGCGAAGGCGGCUCACUGGCUCGAUACUGACGCUGAGGUACGAAAGUGUGGGGAGCAAACAGGAUUAGA
RNAcentral lists this ribosomal RNA (650 nucleotides) under Litoreibacter sp. OFEM66. RNAcentral's name for it is "bacterial SSU rRNA". It matches the Rfam family "Bacterial small subunit ribosomal RNA", at positions 97 to 782 of the family's 1533-position model. Lineage: Bacteria; Pseudomonadati; Pseudomonadota; Alphaproteobacteria; Rhodobacterales; Roseobacteraceae. The record is from RNAcentral.